This 449-nucleotide ribosomal RNA is filed under the name uncultured bacterium. RNAcentral describes it as "partial 16S ribosomal RNA". It matches the Rfam family "Bacterial small subunit ribosomal RNA", at positions 29 to 523 of the family's 1533-position model. The record is from RNAcentral.
AACGAACGCUGGCGGCAUGCCUAACACAUGCAAGUCGAACGAAGGCUUCGGCCUUAGUGGCGCACGGGUGAGUAACGCGUGGGAAACUGCCUAUUGGUGGGGAAUAACGACGGGAAACUGUCGCUAAUACCGCAUAAGCACUUCGGGGGAAAGAUUUAUCGCCGAUAGAUGUGCCCGCGUCCGAUUAGCUAGUUGGUGAGGUAAUGGCUCACCAAGGCGACGAUCGGUAGCUGGUCUGAGAGGAUGAUCAGCCACACUGGGACUGAGACACGGCUCAGACUCCUACGGGAGGCAGCAGUGGGGAAUAUUGGACAAUGGGCGAAAGCCUGAUCCAGCAAUGCCGCGUGAGUGAUGAAGGCCUUAGGGUUGUAAAGCUCUUUCGGGUGGGACGAUGAUGACGGUACCACCAGAAGAAGCCCCGGCUAACUUCGUGCCAGCAGCCGCCGUAA